RNAcentral lists this small nuclear RNA (144 nucleotides) under Sus scrofa (pig). Its description in RNAcentral is "U2 spliceosomal RNA (ENSSSCG00060025567.1)". It matches the Rfam family "U2 spliceosomal RNA". From Rfam's summary of the family: U2 is a small nuclear RNA (snRNA) component of the spliceosome (involved in pre-mRNA splicing). Complementary binding between U2 snRNA (in an area lying towards the 5' end but 3' to hairpin I) and the branchpoint sequence (BPS) of the intron results the bulging out of an unpaired adenosine, on the BPS, which initiates a nucleophilic attack at the intronic 5' splice site, thus starting the first of two transesterification reactions that mediate splicing. The record is from RNAcentral. Lineage: Eukaryota; Metazoa; Chordata; Mammalia; Artiodactyla; Suidae.
AUCACUUUUCAGCCUAUGGGCUAAGAUCAAGCGUAGUAUCUGUUCUCAGAGUUUAAAAUAAACACAAUCCCUAAAUGAAGGCGGUUUAGGCAUCUUGGAAAGGAUCUUCUCUCUUAUCUAUGUCUUCGGCACAGGCAACCUUGC